AGUGCUGGUUCAGUGGUUCAAGUUUUGGGCUACUGAUCAGAAGGUUGCGGGUUCAAAUCCCAGCACCACUA
Molecule: non-coding RNA, 71 nt
Organism: Pangasianodon gigas (Mekong giant catfish)
Lineage: Eukaryota; Metazoa; Chordata; Actinopteri; Siluriformes; Pangasiidae
Source: the annotation of a GenBank genome assembly